GAUGAACGCUAGCUACAGGCUUAACACAUGCAAGUCGAGGGGCAGCAUGAGGUCAGCUUGCUGACUUUGAUGGCGACCGGCGCACGGGUGAGUAACGCGUAUCCAACCUGCCCAUAACUAAGGGAUAAUCCGUAGAGAUGCGGUCUAAUACCUUAUGUUGUCCGAGGAAGACAUCUGAUUCGGACGAAAGAUUUAUCGGUUAUGGAUGGGGAUGCGUCUGAUUAGCUUGUUGGCGGGGUAACGGCCCACCAAGGCGACGAUCAGUAGGGGUUCUGAGAGGAAGGUCCCCCACAUUGGAACUGAGACACGGUCCAAACUCCUACGGGAGGCAGCAGUGAGGAAUAUUGGUCAAUGGACGAGAGUCUGAACCAGCCAAGUAGCGUGCAGGAUGACGGCCCUAUGGGUUGUAAACUGCUUUUAUACGGGGAUAAAAGGUGUCACGUGUGACAUUUUGCAGGUACCGUAUGAAUAAGGACCGGCUAAUUCCGUGCC
This 492-nucleotide ribosomal RNA is filed under the name uncultured bacterium. RNAcentral's name for it is "bacterial SSU rRNA". It matches the Rfam family "Bacterial small subunit ribosomal RNA", at positions 28 to 509 of the family's 1533-position model. The record is from RNAcentral.